RNAcentral lists this ribosomal RNA (253 nucleotides) under uncultured bacterium. Its description in RNAcentral is "partial 16S ribosomal RNA". It matches the Rfam family "Bacterial small subunit ribosomal RNA", at positions 524 to 776 of the family's 1533-position model. The record is from RNAcentral.
UACAGAGGGGGCGAGCGUUGUUCGGAAUUACUGGGCGUAAAGGGCGCGUAGGCGGCCUUCUAAGUCGAACGUGAAAUCCCCGGGCUCAACCCGGGAACUGCGUCCGAUACUGGGAGGCUUGAAUCCGGGAGAGGGAUGUGGAAUUCCAGGUGUAGCGGUGAAAUGCGUAGAUAUCUGGAGGAACACCGGUGGCGAAGGCGGCAUCCUGGACCGGUAUUGACGCCGAGGCGCGAAAGCCAGGGGAGCAAACGGG